Molecule: long non-coding RNA, 877 nt
Organism: Amphiprion ocellaris (clown anemonefish)
Lineage: Eukaryota; Metazoa; Chordata; Actinopteri; Pomacentridae
Source: Ensembl
AAGAAAUCAAAUAUUCUAUAAAAUGUAAAUACACUGAACUCAUUUGGAUAUAUUUAAGUGAGACUCUACAAUAUUAUUAGAUACAAAUCUAUCUAAAUCAAAAUUUUAAUCAUUUUUACUCCAAACAUUUACUGGACUGAUUUAAAUAUUAAAAUCACUCCUUUCUAAUCCUCUGCUGUACGUUCAAACCUGAGGCCUUAAAUAGAAACACACAAGUAUCUGAUUGAAGGAACUUCUGCAGAGUCCUGGUUCCAGAACAUGAUGAUAGAAUUAUAGACAAACUUUAACAAAAGCUGCCUGAGAGUUUACAGGUUUUUAUGUUAGAUUUCUUCAGUAAUUUAAUGAGUUAUCAGCAAUAAUCAAGUGUUCAUUUGAUGAACUUCAUUUCCUAAAACAUCCAGAAUUGGAGCUCAUAUCUUUGUCAGCUGUAAAGUUUCUGCUCCUUCAAAGUUCACAACACAAUGAAUGAAUUCCUAAAACACUCUCAAUGCUGGAGAGUGUUUGAUGCUGAAGCAAUGACCAGUUUUUCUGUUUCUUCUCUGGAGAUGCACAAUGAGGGACGUCUGCAGAGACUGAGAAAGAGUCUCACCACAUCCUGACAUGAGGAAAAAGAUUUUAUUGAAGACUACAAUGAGAAAAACUAUCAGACAGCAGACGGCUGCAUUCAAGUCUGUAGCUGCUGAAUUCAUGGAUGAAUCAUCUGGCACUAGAGAGGAAGACCAUCAAACAUCCACGUCAGCUGAUGGAGGUCCAAGAGUCUCACCAAACAAACAACCUACAGAGUGAAGACCUCAAAUCUGAUUGGACGGCCUCCUAUUCAGCCACAUUUUAGGCUGUUAGAUUGUUCCAGAUAAGACAAGUAAAAGAUACUUCAGAG